GAUGAACGCUGGCGGCGUGCCUAAUACAUGCAAGUCGAGCGAACGGACGAGAAGCUUGCUUCUCUGAUGUUAGCGGCGGACGGGUGAGUAACACGUGGAUAACCUACCUAUAAGACUGGGAUAACUUCGGGAAACCGGAGCUAAUACCGGAUAAUAUUUUGAACCGCAUGGUUCAAAAGUGAAAGACGGUCUUGCUGUCACUUAUAGAUGGAUCCGCGCUGCAUUAGCUAGUUGGUAAGGUAACGGCUUACCAAGGCAACGAUGCAUAGCCGACCUGAGAGGGUGAUCGGCCACACUAGAACUGAGACGCGGUCCAGACUCCUACGGGAGGCAGCAGUAGGGAAUCGUCCGCAAUGGGCGAAAGCCUGACGGAGCAACGCGGAGUGAGUGAUGAAGGUCUUCGGAUCGGAAAACUCUGUUAUUAGGGAAGAACACAUGUGUAAGUAACUGUGCACAUCUUGACGGUACCUAAUCAGAAAGCCACGGCUAACUACGUG
This 497-nucleotide ribosomal RNA is filed under the name uncultured bacterium. RNAcentral's name for it is "partial 16S ribosomal RNA". It matches the Rfam family "Bacterial small subunit ribosomal RNA", at positions 28 to 507 of the family's 1533-position model. The record is from RNAcentral.